Ornithodoros turicata is the source of this 234-nucleotide long non-coding RNA. RefSeq lists it as uncharacterized. NCBI's taxonomy places the organism in Eukaryota, Metazoa, Arthropoda, Arachnida, Ixodida, Argasidae. The record is from RefSeq and is a predicted model, not a curated record. The transcript has 3 exons.
AGAUCACCGAUGUCGCGACGGCAACAGAAAUUAUGACUGAUCCGACUGUAGUGGAGACGCUUGCGGGACGCACAUUCAUGGUAACUUGGAAGGACAAGGAACCCCCAGCAGAAGCCUAUAUUAUAGCUGCAGGAGAACUAUCAAAAAUGGAGCGGCGUCGAAACAGGUUGGCAGCGCGAGCAUCGACCCAGGCAUCACAGCAGGUCAACUGCUGCAACCACGUUGACCAAGUAA